GCCAGCAGCCAUAUCACCCUGAAACUCUCAACUGGCAACCCCCAGAAGCUCAGUAGGUGUGAGCCUGCUCAGUACCUGGAUGGGAGACCUCCUGGGAAAAACUAAGGUUGCUUCUGGAA
This 119-nucleotide ribosomal RNA is filed under the name Lepisosteus oculatus (spotted gar). The record is from RNAcentral. Lineage: Eukaryota; Metazoa; Chordata; Actinopteri; Semionotiformes; Lepisosteidae.